AAGACUUCACAAUGGUUUGAUAACCAUGUGCAGGAUGCUGACUUGAGCCUCUUCCAAUUCUCUAGUAACCUCACUGGCCAGGCAGGGCUCAAUACCUCUUCACCUGUGGCAUGGUUUCUGAUCAAGUUUGGUGUCACC
Molecule: long non-coding RNA, 138 nt
Filed under: Bison bison bison
Lineage: Eukaryota; Metazoa; Chordata; Mammalia; Artiodactyla; Bovidae
Description: FTX transcript, XIST regulator conserved region 4 (ENSBBBG00000022149.1)
Rfam family: FTX transcript, XIST regulator conserved region 4
Source: RNAcentral